AUUGAACGCUGGCGGCAGGCCUAACACAUGCAAGUCGAGCGGAGCGGCGGACGGGUGAGUCAUGCCUAGGAAUCUGCCUGGUUGAGGGGGAUAACGCCCGGAUACGGGCGCUAAUACCGCAUAAAAUCAGAUGAGUCUAGGUCGGAGGAGCUAGUUGGUGGGGUAAAGGACUACCAAGGCGACGAUCCGUAACUGGUCUGAGAGGAGGACCAGCCACACUGGAACUGAGACACGGUCCAGACUCCGACGGUAGGCAGCAGUGGGAAAUAUUGCACAAUGGGAACAAGCCUGAUGGAGCCGUGGCGCGUGUGUGAAGAAGGCCUGCGGGUUGUAAAGGACUUUCAGCGGGGAGGCGUUGCCCGCAGAAGAAGCACCGGCUAACUCCGUGCGAGACGCCGCGGUAAUAC
Molecule: ribosomal RNA, 407 nt
Filed under: uncultured bacterium
Lineage: Bacteria
Description: partial 16S ribosomal RNA
Rfam family: Bacterial small subunit ribosomal RNA
Source: RNAcentral